RNAcentral lists this transfer RNA (85 nucleotides) under Apium graveolens. RNAcentral describes it as "tRNA-Phe". Lineage: Eukaryota; Viridiplantae; Streptophyta; Magnoliopsida; Apiales; Apiaceae. The record is from RNAcentral. RNAcentral also lists the same sequence under 1 other name.
GUCACGAUGAGAAUAACGGGAGUUCGCUGGGAAAUACACUCUCCUUUUUCCCAGAGGUGUGCUGGUUCGAAUCCAGCUCGUGACA